UACAGGGGGUGCAAACGUUGCUCGGAAUUAUUGGGCGUAAAGCGCGCGUAGGCGGCUACUUAAGUCGGAUGUGAAAGCCCCUGGCUCAACUGGGGAAGUGCACCCGAAACUGAGUGGCUUGAGUGCGAAAGAGGGUCGCGGAAUUCCCGGUGUAGAGGUGAAAUUCGUAGAUAUCGGGAGGAACACCGGUGGCGAAGGCGGCGACCUGGGUCGACACUGACGCUGAGGCGCGAAAGCGUGGGGAGCAAGACGG
This 253-nucleotide ribosomal RNA is filed under the name uncultured bacterium. RNAcentral describes it as "partial 16S ribosomal RNA". It matches the Rfam family "Bacterial small subunit ribosomal RNA", at positions 524 to 776 of the family's 1533-position model. The record is from RNAcentral.